AGUGCUUCUCAGCCUCUUGGCUGAGGUCAAGUGUGGCAUCUGUUCUUAUCAGUUUAAUAUCUGAAAUAUCCAGUUUAAUAUCUGAUUUGCGGUUGCAGUGUUAAAUGGAUUUUUGGUAGAAGGAGAUAGAGUCUGGAGUUUGCUCUACCUGCUCUGUGCAGUCAUCUGGUGUUGCCUCCUUGGGGGUAACAAUUACA
Cynocephalus volans (Philippine flying lemur) is the source of this 197-nucleotide small nuclear RNA. RefSeq annotates it as U2 spliceosomal RNA. NCBI's taxonomy places the organism in Eukaryota, Metazoa, Chordata, Mammalia, Dermoptera, Cynocephalidae. The transcript has a single exon. The record is from RefSeq and is a predicted model, not a curated record.